Long non-coding RNA from Coregonus clupeaformis (lake whitefish), 856 nucleotides. RefSeq lists it as uncharacterized. The record is from RefSeq and is a predicted model, not a curated record. Lineage: Eukaryota; Metazoa; Chordata; Actinopteri; Salmoniformes; Salmonidae. The transcript is spliced from 3 exons.
GUCGCGUCAGGCUUUGACAACCGUACUGUUUACCUGCAAGUUAGCUAUCCUCGGACGUCCACGUGUAGGUCACUAGUGACACAGAUAGAACAUUAACAUAUUUUGUAGUGAUGGGGAACCAAAGCUUCAGUCAAUUGUGUUGAAAAUAGGUUCAUUACCCGUCGCUUUGAUCAACACGUUGUACAAUAGUGGCACUGAUGGUCAAAAUAAUUUAGAACAGCCAAAUUAUUAUAGAUGACGUCGCACACGGCAUAGCGCGUGCGCACGGUAGCCUUUUUGGCUUCUACCAAACCAAUACCAAACUAAUCAGGUGGUUGUUCAACAAAACGAAGAGUCAUUGAUCACGUGUUUCUGAUAAAGCGAUAGCUAGCUACAAGCAUCCGCACACUGAUUCGAAGUAAACUGCUAGCGAAUUCGACGCAUGCCUCGGAGUUCCGGUAUCAAACGUAACAUCACUAGGGUUCAGCAGAAACAGUGGAUACCAAUGCAAAAAAUCUUGGACAGUUGUACCACACAGUUCAUGUCUCCUAGAUUAAUGCUUUCAGACGGAGUCGGGAAUCCGAGAGAGCCGCAUCUGUUCACUGCAAACAGAUGUCUGGCAAAAACGGACUUUUGGAACCACUGUGGGACCUUAUGUAGACAGUCUCAUCCUGGCAUCUUUUCAGAGGCACAAGAUAGAGACAUGAAGCAUGACAGUUUCAUUCCUUUUAUAAAUAUUUUACCAUAAGAAUCUGUCACUUAUUACUUUAAAGAAUGCAGAUACCAUUUCAAAUAUCAACUUGAUUAUAACUCAAAGAUGUCAAAAAGUAUUUUUUAUAUAUUUUGUUGUCAGGAUAUUAGGUUGUUCCCAUUAGUG